Molecule: ribosomal RNA, 609 nt
Filed under: Escherichia coli
Lineage: Bacteria; Pseudomonadati; Pseudomonadota; Gammaproteobacteria; Enterobacterales; Enterobacteriaceae
Description: partial 23S ribosomal RNA
Rfam family: Bacterial large subunit ribosomal RNA
Source: RNAcentral
CUGUAAGCCUGUGAAGGUGUGCUGUGAGGCAUGCUGGAGGUAUCAGAAGUGCGAAUGCUGACAUAAGUAACGAUAAAGCGGGUGAAAAGCCCGCUCGCCGGAAGACCAAGGGUUCCUGUCCAACGUUAAUCGGGGCAGGGUGAGUCGACCCCUAAGGCGAGGCCGAAAGGCGUAGUCGAUGGGAAACAGGUUAAUAUUCCUGUACUUGGUGUUACUGCGAAGGGGGGACGGAGAAGGCUAUGUUGGCCGGGCGACGGUUGUCCCGGUUUAAGCGUGUAGGCUGGUUUUCCAGGCAAAUCCGGAAAAUCAAGGCUGAGGCGUGAUGACGAGGCACUACGGUGCUGAAGCAACAAAUGCCCUGCUUCCAGGAAAAGCCUCUAAGCAUCAGGUAACAUCAAAUCGUACCCCAAACCGACACAGGUGGUCAGGUAGAGAAUACCAAGGCGCUUGAGAGAACUCGGGUGAAGGAACUAGGCAAAAUGGUGCCGUAACUUCGGGAGAAGGCACGCUGAUAUGUAGGUGAAGUCCCUCGCGGAUGGAGCUGAAAUCAGUCGAAGAUACCAGCUGGCUGCAACUGUUUAUUAAAAACACAGCACUGUGCAAACACGA